AGCCCUAAGGAUUAAUUUAGGGUGAUACCUGCCCAAUGACACAGUUUAACGGCCGCGGUACUUUGACCGUGCUAAGGUAGCAUAAUCAAUUGACUUUUAAAUGAAGUCUGGAAUGAACGGGAUAACGGAAUUUAGCUGUCUCACAUCUUUUAAUGGGAAUUUACUUACUAGGUGAGAAAGCCUGGAAAAGAAAAAAGACGAGAAGACCCUAAGAGUUUGGUAUUUUGUUGGGGCGACAAGGGGUCAGGUAACACCCCCGAUUAUAUGACGGACUUAUCAUGUAUAGAUAAACUACCUUAGGGAUAACAGCAUAAUUCUUUUGAGUUUGUGACCUCGAUGUUGGACUAGGAAGCCUUUAGGCUAGCUGCCUAAGAGGGGGAUUCUGUUCGAAUUUUUACUCCU
This 402-nucleotide ribosomal RNA is filed under the name Roxaniella sp. B TRO-2019. Its description in RNAcentral is "partial 16S large subunit ribosomal RNA". It matches the Rfam family "Archaeal large subunit ribosomal RNA", at positions 1921 to 2665 of the family's 2987-position model. Lineage: Eukaryota; Metazoa; Mollusca; Gastropoda; Cephalaspidea; Haminoeidae. The record is from RNAcentral.